Non-coding RNA from Pelobates cultripes (western spadefoot toad), 1920 nucleotides. NCBI's taxonomy places the organism in Eukaryota, Metazoa, Chordata, Amphibia, Anura, Pelobatidae. The record is from the annotation of a GenBank genome assembly.
CGGUCGUUCGGGUGUUGUGCUCUCCAUACGUCGUAUAGAUUAUAUUCCAAAAGGAGUUUAACCAAUGCAGUAGCCUGUUUUCCCAGUGAUUUACAUCGUUGGGAUUCCGCUGACUGUGUAGUAUCUAGUUUGGGUUGCAUUACAUGGUUCAGAUCUCCACAUAGGAUUGUGGAGGAGGGGUAGGUGGUUGGGAUUUUGUGUAAUACUUUUUGCAAGAAAUUUCUCUGAUCAGUAUUAGGACUAUAUACUCCCACUAACGUGUAUAAUGUAUCAUUAAUUUUGCAGUGUAUUAUGAGAUAUCGACCCUGUGUGUCUUUUUUGAGGUUUAGUAGUUCAAAUGUAACUGACACAUGAAUGAGAAAGGAUACACCUCUUGAUUUGGAGGAGUGAGUGGAGUGGUACUGUGUGGGGUAGUCCCUGCUCGCGAAGGUGGGUACCCUGUUAUGUACAAAAUGUGUCUCUUGUACGCAUAAUACGUCUAUUUUUGUGCGUUUUGCGUCUUCAAUGAGGAGUCGCCUUUUGUGCGGGGUAUUCAAUCCGCGGGUGUUAAUAGUUUGUAUUUUCAUAAAUUGUGUUUGAGUUUGUCACUGUGCUAUAAAUUAAGGUAGUAUUUAAUAAGCGUUUGUUUAUAUUAAAUAGGAAGCUGUGUGUCUCCCUUAGUAAUAAGCAAGGUAUGCUUAACGCAGCAAUUGUACUGUGUUUGAUUAUGUGGGUAGAUGGGUGGUAAUGUUGGCAAGUUUUUCUGUCAGCCUGUCUGGAGAUUUGAAGCCGAUCACGGGCUUCUUGGGGUGGGGAGAGGAAACUUGGGGAAAGAAAUAUAACUAUAUACAGAGUGUCUCUCUUGGAGACAGUGUGUGGUUGUACCACAUCCAGGGGACAGAAGAGAUGUCUCUCUUCCAUUAGCGUGGCUAUUGGACACCUAUGUCCUCAAUCGUAGGUUGCAUCCACCUUGCCAUAGGUAUGUGUGCGCACGUGGUGUAAGUUCCAGCAUUGAUAAUGUCUGCCUCGUCUCGGUAGUGCUAGGGUAGGCUCCUCCGGAGCCAAGCUGAGCUAAGCUCCGCCCAAGGAUUUACAGUAAAUUCUUAUGGGUUAUUGAAUUGGUGGUAUUUACCCGACUCCUGUUGGAUGUGAGUCUGGUGUGCAUGUGUGGCUUAACAAUAUACAUAUUUUAGUACAGAUAAAGAUUCAUAAUAUUCCCAAGAGUUAAGCUACUUAAGGGAGAAUAAACAUUUCCCCAACUGCACUGUCAACCCCCCCCUUGCCGGUAUCAUCACCCGUUCCCCGACUUCUAUCCCACGUUGUCCCCCCCCCCAAGUCCCUCAGUUCGUAUAUGGUGGGAGCCUGGUUCCCAGGCCCCCCAAUACCUUGUUGGGUCGCUGGACGCCAGUCACGUAGCUCAGUUCCGAUGGGUUGACCCAUUUGUAGCUGUGCUCGGUUCUCGGUUGUGUGAAUGGGUCUUUAAAGUGGUCCUUUGCUAAGGUAUGGGGACCUGUAAAUCAGAGUCUCAGGGUGGCCGGAGUGACUUCCGAGGGGUGAGGGAGGAAAGGGGGUAUCUUCUGUUCGGGCUUAGAUCCGGUCCAGGGUCCCCCGCACUCUUUCCGCUGCUCUGCUUGCGCCUCGUCACAGGGAUGUCGGGAGACCCUGGCCCGGCACUCCACCUCCACCCCAUUGGCCGGUGUCCGGCAUCGCACAUCAAAAAAGAGAAAAAAAGUCAUUGUUGGUGGGCUAGUCGAUUACAUAUCUGCCAAAUGCCAAUGUACAGUCUGUACUCAUGUAUGGGCCAUCGCCCGCUGACCAGUGUUUCAACCGGUGUUAAUGUUUUCCGUGGGUCUUCUUCCAGUCUUGUUUGAGUGUUGCUGCUUGGGUUGAUGUCUGUGUGGGUGGUUCUACCUGUAUAUCCCAUGCCUGCAGUUUCUUCAC